This 777-nucleotide ribosomal RNA is filed under the name uncultured Neocallimastigales. Its description in RNAcentral is "partial large subunit ribosomal RNA". It matches the Rfam family "Eukaryotic large subunit ribosomal RNA", at positions 20 to 630 of the family's 3401-position model. Lineage: Eukaryota; Fungi; Neocallimastigomycota; Neocallimastigomycetes; Neocallimastigales. The record is from RNAcentral.
UACUAGAGUAGCACUCGCAUAUCAAUAAGCGGAGGAAAAGAAACUAACAAGGAUUCCCUUAGUAACGGCGAGUGAAGCGGGAAGAGCUCAAAUUUGAAAUCUUCAAGGUUUUACCUUGACGAAUUGUAGUUUAAAGAAGUGUUUUCUGUUGAAGUUUUGGUAAAAGUUCUUUGGAAUAGGACAUCAUAGAGGGUGAGAAUCCCGUAUUUGACCAUUAUUUUCAGCUGUGUGAUACACUUUCAAAGAGUCGGAUUGUUUGGGAAUGCAGUCCAAAAUGGGUGGUAAAUUUCAUCUAAAGCUAAAUAUUGGCGAGAGACCGAUAGCGAACAAGUACCGUGAGGGAAAGAUGAAAAGAACUUUGAAAAGAGAGUUAAACAGUACGUGAAAUUGUCAAAAGGGAAGCGUUUGACACCAGUGUUGUUUAGUCGAAAAUCAAUUCAAUAGUUUUUGAUUCUAAGUAGUAUUGACUUCAUCAGCCUGCUGCUUUCUUCUCAGAAAUUAUUGAAUGCACUUUUCAGUUAACAAGUCAACAUCAAUUUCUUUUGUUGUAAAAGGGUAAGAGGAAGGUGGCUUACGCUUCGGCGUAAGUGUUUAUAGCCUUUUACCUCUGCAAUCGGAGAGAUUGAGGACAGCAGCGUAGACUCCUUCGGGGGUUAGAUACACUUGUGCUAAGCUAUAGCCUUGUAUAGACAACUUGUUGACUAUGCUCAGUCAUGUAGGCUUACUCGCUUAUGCUAUUUUACCUACGCUUAGGAUGUUGAUAGUCACAGCGUGUAC